Molecule: ribosomal RNA, 1427 nt
Filed under: uncultured organism
Description: 16S ribosomal RNA
Rfam family: Bacterial small subunit ribosomal RNA
Source: RNAcentral
UAACACAUGCAAGUCGAGGGGCAGCAUUUUAUUUUGCUUGCAAACUGAAGAUGGCGACCGGCGCACGGGUGAGUAACACGUAUCCAACCUGCCGAUAACUCCGGAAUAGCCUUUCGAAAGAAAGAUUAAUACCGGAUAGCAUACGAAUAUCGCAUGAUAUUUUUAUUAAAGAAUUUCGGUUAUCGAUGGGGAUGCGUUCCAUUAGUUUGUUGGCGGGGUAACGGCCCACCAAGACAACGAUGGAUAGGGGUUCUGAGAGGAAGGUCCCCCACAUUGGAACUGAGACACGGUCCAAACUCCUACGGGAGGCAGCAGUGAGGAAUAUUGGUCAAUGGGCGAGAGCCUGAACCAGCCAAGUAGCGUGAAGGAUGAAGGCUCUAUGGGUCGUAAACUUCUUUUAUAUGGGAAUAAAGUUUUCCACGUGUGGAAUUUUGUAUGUACCAUAUGAAUAAGGAUCGGCUAACUCCGUGCCAGCAGCCGCGGUAAUACGGAGGAUCCGAGCGUUAUCCGGAUUUAUUGGGUUUAAAGGGAGCGUAGGUGGAUUGUUAAGUCAGUUGUGAAAGUUUGCGGCUCAACCGUAAAAUUGCAGUUGAAACUGGCAGUCUUGAGUACAGUAGAGGUGGGCGGAAUUCGUGGUGUAGCGGUGAAAUGCUUAGAUAUCACGAAGAACUCCGAUUGCGAAGGCAGCUCACUAGACUGUCACUGACACUGAUGCUCGAAAGUGUGGGUAUCAAACAGGAUUAGAUACCCUGGUAGUCCACACAGUAAACGAUGAAUACUCGCUGUUUGCGAUAUACAGUAAGCGGCCAAGCGAAAGCAUUAAGUAUUCCACCUGGGGAGUACGCCGGCAACGGUGAAACUCAAAGGAAUUGACGGGGGCCCGCACAAGCGGAGGAACAUGUGGUUUAAUUCGAUGAUACGCGAGGAACCUUACCCGGGCUUAAAUUGCAACAGAAUAUAUUGGAAACAGUAUAGCCGUAAGGCUGUUGUGAAGGUGCUGCAUGGUUGUCGUCAGCUCGUGCCGUGAGGUGUCGGCUUAAGUGCCAUAACGAGCGCAACCCUUAUCUUUAGUUACUAACAGGUGAUGCUGAGGACUCUAGAGAGACUGCCGUCGUAAGAUGUGAGGAAGGUGGGGAUGACGUCAAAUCAGCACGGCCCUUACGUCCGGGGCUACACACGUGUUACAAUGGGGGGUACAGAAGGCGGCUACCUGGUGACAGGAUGCUAAUCCCAAAAACCUCUCUCAGUUCGGAUCGAAGUCUGCAACCCGACUUCGUGAAGCUGGAUUCGCUAGUAAUCGCGCAUCAGCCAUGGCGCGGUGAAUACGUUCCCGGGCCUUGUACACACCGCCCGUCAAGCCAUGAAAGCCGGGGGUACCUGAAGUACGUAACCGCAAGGAGCGUCCUAGGGUAAAACUGGUAAUUGGG